Molecule: ribosomal RNA, 253 nt
Filed under: uncultured bacterium
Lineage: Bacteria
Description: partial 16S ribosomal RNA
Rfam family: Bacterial small subunit ribosomal RNA
Source: RNAcentral
UACGUAGGGUGCAAGCGUUGUCCGGAAUUAUUGGGCGUAAAGAGCUCGUAGGCGGUCUGUCGCGUCGGCUGUGAAAUCCCGAGGCUCAACCUCGGGUCUGCAGCCGAUACGGGCAAACUGGAGUGUUGCAGGGGAGACUGGAAUUCCUGGUGUAGCGGUGAAAUGCGCAGAUAUCAGGAGGAACACCGGUGGCGAAGGCGGGUCUCUGGGCAACAACUGACGCUGAGGAGCGAAAGCGUGGGGAGCGAACAGG